RNAcentral lists this small nuclear RNA (122 nucleotides) under Castor canadensis (American beaver). Its description in RNAcentral is "U11 spliceosomal RNA (ENSCCNG00000021524.1)". It matches the Rfam family "U11 spliceosomal RNA". The record is from Rfam by way of RNAcentral. Lineage: Eukaryota; Metazoa; Chordata; Mammalia; Rodentia; Castoridae.
UAAAUGUGUUGUGAGUGGCAUGAGUAAGGUAACUCAGUUGUUCUUGUGGAAUCAACAAGAGAUUUCAGAAGCAUAACUUUUUGGUAGAUGAACAGCUGGCGACCUUUGGUUCCAGUGUUCCU